UACGUAGGGGGCAAGCGUUGUCCGGAAUCAUUGGGCGUAAAGAGCGUGUAGGCGGUUCGGUAAGUCGGCUGUGAAAGUCCAGGGCUCAACCCUGGGAUGCCGGUCGAUACUGCCGGACUAGAGUUCGGAAGAGGCGAGUGGAAUUCCCGGUGUAGCGGUGAAAUGCGCAGAUAUCGGGAGGAACACCUAUGGCGAAGGCAGCUCGCUGGGACGUUACUGACGCUGAAACGCGAAAGCGUGGGGAGCAAACAGG
This 253-nucleotide ribosomal RNA is filed under the name uncultured bacterium. Its description in RNAcentral is "partial 16S ribosomal RNA". It matches the Rfam family "Bacterial small subunit ribosomal RNA", at positions 524 to 776 of the family's 1533-position model. The record is from RNAcentral.